UUUGGCAGAGAUAGUGCAAUAGAUCCACCUGAUACCAUACCGAACUCAGAAGUGAAAUGUUGUAACGCUGAUGGUUAAGUGAUUUUUCAACU
RNAcentral lists this ribosomal RNA (92 nucleotides) under Haemophilus influenzae. Lineage: Bacteria; Pseudomonadati; Pseudomonadota; Gammaproteobacteria; Pasteurellales; Pasteurellaceae. The record is from RNAcentral.